AUAUCUCUCCGUACGGGAAGGAUGAGAAGCUUCGACUAAGGUUCGAUUCGAGCGCAGCGAGAACGCGUUGCCGCAGGCAAC
RNAcentral lists this small RNA (81 nucleotides) under Salmonella enterica subsp. enterica serovar Heidelberg. Its description in RNAcentral is "partial RtT sRNA". It matches the Rfam family "RtT RNA", at positions 1 to 80 of the family's 130-position model. Rfam says of the family: This family represents a bacterial cis-regulatory element known as RtT RNA. The exact function of RtT is unknown although it is thought that it may be involved in changing the cellular response in relation to amino acid starvation. RNAcentral also lists the same sequence under 4 other names. Lineage: Bacteria; Pseudomonadati; Pseudomonadota; Gammaproteobacteria; Enterobacterales; Enterobacteriaceae. The record is from RNAcentral.